This is a small nuclear RNA of Erinaceus europaeus (western European hedgehog), 164 nucleotides long. Its record names the gene U1. It matches the Rfam family "U1 spliceosomal RNA". From Rfam's summary of the family: U1 is a small nuclear RNA (snRNA) component of the spliceosome (involved in pre-mRNA splicing). Its 5' end forms complementary base pairs with the 5' splice junction, thus defining the 5' donor site of an intron. Lineage: Eukaryota; Metazoa; Chordata; Mammalia; Eulipotyphla; Erinaceidae. The record is from Ensembl.
AUAUUUACCUGACAGGUGAAAGUCUAUAAUUAUAAAGGUGUAUUUCCCAGGGCAAGGCUUAACUCACUGUACUCCGGGUGUGCUGACCCUGAGAUUUCUCCAAAUGUGGGCAACUCGACUGCAGAAUUUAUGGUAGUAGGGGACUGUACAUGUACUCUCCCUUA